UUUUGGUUGUGUGUAUAUGAAAUGUAAAUCAAGUGUUUCUGCUGUUUUGCAAGUGUGUGUUUCAGCAAUGAAACAGUUAACAGCAGGCCAGUUUGACUGACAGCCUGCUGUGACCUAUGAGACAUGAUUUCCGGCCUUGGAGGUCGGAACUUCCUUCGAACUAAGGAAAGUGCUUUCUUAUCUCUUGUAUUGUGAGAGAUGAGCCGAGCCGAAGAAUGCUGGCUUCGAGUGAUGGACUUUGCUGCAAUUGUAAAUAUCUCUGUGCAGUCAUACUGGCCACAUGACCUUGGAAGCAUCUACGGACAACGCUGGAGAUGGAGAUAAGCACCAACCCCCAGAGUUGGACACGACUAGACUUAAUGUCAGGGCAAAAUCUUUACCCUUUACCUUUACCUAGAUGCCUGGAAUCCCUAUAUCGGGAGAAAGGUGAGCUAAGAAUGAAGUCAGGAACGCAAAGCAUCAUGCAGCCUAAAUAAGUGAAUGCAUGGGAAGAGCUUGAUAGGAACAGCAGCUGUGGAGAAAUCUGAAGUGACUUGUUUAUAUUGUACAAUGUUUCUUGGAAUUAAAAAAAACACCCCCCUCUGA
Anolis carolinensis (green anole) is the source of this 585-nucleotide long non-coding RNA. RefSeq lists it as uncharacterized. The transcript is spliced from 2 exons. Lineage: Eukaryota; Metazoa; Chordata; Lepidosauria; Squamata; Anolidae. The record is from RefSeq and is a predicted model, not a curated record.